RNAcentral lists this ribosomal RNA (253 nucleotides) under uncultured bacterium. Its description in RNAcentral is "partial 16S ribosomal RNA". It matches the Rfam family "Bacterial small subunit ribosomal RNA", at positions 524 to 776 of the family's 1533-position model. The record is from RNAcentral.
UACGUAGGGUGCGAGCGUUAAUCGGAAUUACUGGGCGUAAAGCGUGCGCAGGCGGUUAUGUAAGACAGUUGUGAAAUCCCCGGGCUCAACCUGGGAACUGCAUCUGUGACUGCAUAGCUAGAGUACGGUAGGGGGGGAUGGAAUUCCGCGUGUAGCAGUGAAAUGCGUAGAUAUGCGGAGGAACACCGAUGGCGAAGGCAAUCCCCUGGACCUGUACUGACGCUCAUGCACGAAAGCGUGGGGAGCAAACAGG